GCAGGAUAUGCCACUGGCCACUGGAACCGAAAGUGUGGAAGACAUAGCGCACAUUCAGCCGUGCCCGGAGGAUCGCCCCGUGCCAGAGCCCUCUACAAUGGAAGAAGUGCAAGUCGAAGGGGCCCACCACCCAUCGCCUGGCGACUGUGAGAAAGAGAAGGACAUGGUGCCUACUGGAACCAUAA
Molecule: long non-coding RNA, 185 nt
Organism: Olea europaea var. sylvestris
Lineage: Eukaryota; Viridiplantae; Streptophyta; Magnoliopsida; Lamiales; Oleaceae
Exons: 3
Source: RefSeq, a predicted model, not a curated record